GGUAGAAUAGCCUAAUGCAGGCGGUGGGUUGUAGCCCCAAAGAUGAAGGUUUAAGUCCUUUUUCUAUCA
RNAcentral lists this transfer RNA (69 nucleotides) under Pethia gelius (golden barb). RNAcentral describes it as "tRNA-Tyr". It matches the Rfam family "tRNA". Rfam says of the family: Transfer RNA (tRNA) molecules are approximately 80 nucleotides in length. Their secondary structure includes four short double-helical elements and three loops (D, anti-codon, and T loops). Further hydrogen bonds mediate the characteristic L-shaped molecular structure. tRNAs have two regions of fundamental functional importance: the anti-codon, which is responsible for specific mRNA codon recognition, and the 3' end, to which the tRNAs corresponding amino acid is attached (by aminoacyl-tRNA synthetases). tRNAs cope with the degeneracy of the genetic code in two manners: having more than one tRNA (with a specific anti-codon) for a particular amino acid; and 'wobble' base-pairing, i.e. permitting non-standard base-pairing at the 3rd anti-codon position. Lineage: Eukaryota; Metazoa; Chordata; Actinopteri; Cypriniformes; Cyprinidae. The record is from RNAcentral.